UUUUUGCAAUGACAUCAUCUCUCUGUCCGAGCAGCCCCAAUAGCCAUGCUCGGAUGCGGUGCGUUCUGGGAAUUGUAGUCUUCUGGGGCCCAGACGGGACGCCAAGGCUAUUGCUGGAACUACAAUACCCAAGAUGCGCUGAGGUCGGACGCGCCCAGAGAGGAGGAGCAGAGAAGAUUGGCCGCCAUGUUAGGAGCGCCUGGGCGGCUUAGCGAAGCUGGUGGAUGUGUUAGAAACGCAGGAGUGGAAAAGUCGUGCGGUAGGGAUGAUGAGGUGGAGGACCCACGGACUGGAGGGUCUUCGGGAUCGACCUGAGAGCGGGGCGGAGGGCUCCUGUUGGGCAGAAUCUGUCUGCCGUGUGGAAAGAUGAGAAAUUUCAUUUCCUCUUGAAAGUAUCAAAGGGGUUAAAAGUUCUGAUGAUGCGUGCUUUUGUACUUUUUUUCUUCCCUCCCGUUUUGCACUUUAUUCUCAAAACAAAAUUAAUAGAUGUGUUUAAGUCAGUGAAAGUAUGUACUAAACCUAUUAGUUGGUAAUAAAACUUCUGAUUAGUAAGCCCUCCUAUCAAAGAACAGUAGGCAGACUGGUUAAAACUAACCAACACACAGUAGUGUCAAUCUCAAAUGUAUAGCAUGAGAUGAUUAUAGUUUUUCAGAGACUAAAUUUGUCACGUUUCUAGGAACAAGGUACAAGAUUAAUGGUUUGGUUUCAUUCCUAAGCAAUGGUAAUGAUUGAUGGUAAGUAUUGGAAAAGGAACAUAAUAUUGGCUGUUCUUUCUGACCUGAAAAAUAAUGAAUUUUAAUCAUUUUUUAAGAGUAAGCUGUCACUUCACUUUGAGUUACUGUGGAAGACCAAUUUGUGGGGGAAAAAAAGUAACAUUGCUUGGACAUCCUGUGUGGAAAACAAUAGACCUGUAUAAUACAAUGAUUUCUGUAAAUUGUCAUGUAUUUAAGUAGUUUGAAGUUUUUCUAGCCUUUAUGUGCCACAGAUAGCUAACCAAAAAUACAGGAAACAAAUAUAUUUAAUAUAUUUUGAAAGAAUCUACAACUUCUUAACUUUUUAGGAAAAAGUUAUACCCUCUUUAGAAAUGUGAUUUGCAAGUUAAUAUUUGUUGGCACUAGCUUGUGAAAGAAUAGGUUGUGCCCUAGAGAAAAAACAGUGAAUUUGGGAAAAUAUUUUAAAUGUAGAAUUAGGUAUGCCUUACAUAACGCAGACUACAUGUUUUUCAAUCACAAAAGAUGAGUCAUUGAUUUAUAACUUUAGGGCAUUGUAAUGUAAAUUUUAGGUAGUUCAUAAGAAUAUUAGGUCGAUCGUUUUGUUUUGAGACUGUAUUUCAGGCUGGCCUUGAACUCAGUAUAUAGCCCAGGGUGGACUCAAACUCCUCAUCCUACCUCAAUCUGCUGAGUGCUAGGAUUAGAGGCAUACGCUGCCAUGCCAGCCUGGGUCAGUUAAAUUUACCAAGGCAUUUUUCCAACAAAUACAUGUUGGGAUCACUUAGAAAAACUUCUACAAAUACGUAAUUGGUGUCUGUCCUUCCCAGUGAAUUGCCAAGUCAACCAACUACUGUGGAUUUUUAAAACUAGGUGAGUAUGGAGGGUUGGGUGAAAUAGUAUUUAUCUUCAUCCUCUAUUUGUAUUUUUGUUCCCUGCAUAGCAAGUAAUAGCAAGUCUUGCAAAAAUUUUAGAUUUAUUGCUUAUUUUACCCAUGAAUGAAUCCUGAAAAUCUACACAUAAGAAUUUUCCUCAUAAUCUACUUACAUAGUGGCAUUGUGGAGUAGGAACAUUUAAGGAUUUGAAGAAAGUAUCAGUGUUAACCUCAGCCAUCACAAUAUUCUGAUUUACCUGGGUGUUUCAAGGGUGAGAGUUUAUCCUAAUAUCAAGAAAGUAAGGAUGAGAGAGACCUUUUUUUUUUUUUUUUUUUUUUUUUAAACCGGUACCAGGGAUCAAACUCAUGACUACGUGCUUACAAGGCAGGUGCUUAUGCCACCGAGCUAAAUCCCCAGCCCCUGAGAGACGCUUUUCUGCUGUAGAGGUAAUUGAGCCGGUAAUGACUGACAAGUGGCAUAAAUCUCUUGUUAGUAAAAACACCUUUACCAGUUUGGGGAAGUAUAAAAAGCCACAUAUUUAUGUAAAAUCUUGCAGUUUUAACUGUGUUGGUCACCCUGUAUAUAUCACAUAAACAUGCCGAAGGGGCACUCCACAGUCCCAGCUGGUGACCUUAUACCAACUCAAGUGUCUGACUGAGGCAGUAAUUGAUGACACUGUCACCUGCAGUGUUGCACACCUGUACUUGGCCAGCACUUGGGAGAUUGAGGCAAGAGGAUCAUUUGAGUUUGAAGCUAGUCUGAGCUACAUAGGGAACUCGAGGCCAGCCUCAGCUACACAAUGAGACCCUGUCUCAAAAAAAAAAAAGCCAUCUAGAGCUCAAAGCUAUCCUAAAAUUAUGAUAGUUAUUGAGAAAUCUUAAAUUGAAGUAUCUAUGAACAGGCAGCAUUUUUAAAAUUUUUUCUGAAAAUGUCUUCAAUAGCAGCUUUUGUUGACUCAUCUUAGUUUUUUAGAUUACAGAUACCUCAGUUAAUGAGCUAAAUCUUCUCAAUGGUCAAACUGGAGAACUGGACAAGGACCAAAUCGAUUUUCCCCACAAGGUCAACAUUGAACCUAAUCUUUGAAUUUGAUGGAUUCCCAUCCAACUCUAUUUGCUACCAAAACCAUGGAGAGUUAUUAUCUUGUAUUUUUGAUAUUUGACUAAAUACAGCAGAGUAUGUUUUAAACCAAAUAGACACUGUAAGUGCUGAAAGCUCUUAUAAAUCACCUGAUCUGUGUUUUACAGAUAAGAAAAUGGAUAUUAGAAUUAAAAAUUGUUACUGAUCGGGCCCAGGUGUUUAGCUCAGCAGCAUGUGUUUUGCAAACACAAAGUCGCGAGUUCAAUCCCUGGCACCAAAAAAAGAAAAAGAAAAAAAAAUUAAUGAUCACACUGCAUAGUAGUGGCAAGUGGCAUAGCUAAACCUCAUGUAUGUUCAGUGUCUUAAUGUUACCAGUUUUUUCUCUAUUUAAACUUUAGAUUUUUAUUUCCUAAUGGUGCCCUAAGAUUUUAAUUCCCUAUACUGUGUAAUUUACAUCAGUGUAUGUUUAUUUUUAAUAUUGGAGUAUCAAGACAGUUAAACUGUAAUGCAUAUGAAACUUUCUUUAUAUUUUAGGUUUUAUUUUUUUGUGACAGGAAUCUCACUUUCCCAGCUCAGCCUGGAACACAUAGGUUCAAGUAAUCCUUACGCCUCAGCCAUUAUUGGUACUGCAGCUACAUACUGCUGUACCCAGUGACUUCACAUUCUUUGGCUUACUAAAUUUCUUUAGUCUUUACAUCAAAGUUGUCUGGCAUCCUUUUAUACAUACCUGCUGAAAAAUAAGACCCAAGAGAACAAGUAGUUGAUUUUACUACAGCAGCCUCAAGCUUUAGUUGAUGGGUCGAUCUUUUGAGGACGGAGACCCCCUUGGAGAUACUGUGAAGAGACUGAUUUUAGUGCUUUGAAAACUAUUAUCUGGAGCCUGGAUUCCAGUAGCUUGAGUUUAAAGUUUGGCUUGUUUUAUCACAAAAUUUGUAGCAUUCUAAUCCUCAGUAACAGCCCUCCAGUGGUGUUGGUGAGUAUAAAAGAUUUAGCAGAGUAUUGGAAAACGCUAAGUUUAUUGGGAGUUUUAAGUUACUGAAGAGUAGUCCCAGAGCACUUGGGACACAAAAGUCAAGGAUUAUAAUGCAAAGGUAUUCUUUCAACCUAGGUCAAAUUUGUGUGACAAAUUCACAUUAAAAUACAAUUUGAUUUCUUUAUACUGUGAAGCUACAUGGCAACAAUUAGGGGGGUGGGUACUGGGGAGUAAACAAAGGGCCUUAGCAAUAAGAUAUACCCGUAAAGACAGUCGUUAAAUUUUUCAGGCUGAAGCUGGUGAUUUAGCUCUGUGCAUAAGUGUCUGCCUAGCAGGCACAAGAUGAGUUUGAUCCCCAGUACCAAAAAAAUUUUGCCAAGCAUGGUGGUACACUCCUAUAAUAAGCACUCGGGCUGAGGCAAGAGGAUCAUUGAAAGUUUGAGACUGUCCUAGGAUAUAAAGUGAGCCCAAGGCCAGCCUGAACUGCAUGGUAAGACCCUGUCUCGAAAAGAGAAAAAAGAAUUUCCAGGCUGGGCUCAAAUGGAUCUUCCUGCCUUAACCUCUAAAGAGUGCUGGAAUUAAAAGUAUACACUACCAUGCCCAGCCGCAAGUCUUUAGCCAAGAUCACACAGGAAUGUGGCUAGGUUAUUUAUUAUGUAUAGCUUAAGCUCCACAAUUAUAAAAAUCAGGCCCUUAGUGAAAAUCACUAACCAGUUCUCUAAAAAUUAAGAAAAA
Molecule: long non-coding RNA, 4367 nt
Organism: Cavia porcellus (domestic guinea pig)
Lineage: Eukaryota; Metazoa; Chordata; Mammalia; Rodentia; Caviidae
Exons: 2
Source: RefSeq, a predicted model, not a curated record